CUUGGUCAUUUAGAGGAAGUAAAAGUCGUAACAAGGUCUCCGUUGGUGAACCAGCGGAGGGAUCAUUACCGAGUCACGCGCUCAAACAACCCUUCUGUGGACCUGAAUUAAACCGUUGCCUCGGCGGGCGGUCCCCUGCCAAAAACCCACGUGGUGUAGGCAGGGGACCAGACAGUCCGGUACGCUUAAGGCGUUCGGCGCCAGCCGCUGGCCCUAAAUAAUUAAACUCUAGUAACCUUACCUUCUGAGUUUUAAUGCAAAAAAAUAAGUCAAAACUUUCAACAACGGAUCUCUUGGCUCUGGCAUCGAUGAAGAACGCAGCGAAAUGCGAUAAGUAAUGUGAAUUGCAGAAUUCAGUGAAUCAUCGAAUCUUUGAACGCACAUUGCGCCCGCUGGUAUUCCAGCGGGCAUGCCCGUUCGAGCGUCAUUUUAAUCCCUUCCCGGGAGGCUCUUCUAUUCUGUAGUGGAGUGUCCACGGGGCGUUGGCACUGGGCGCCUUGUUUUUUUUAGGCGGCCGGAGCUGAAAUGAAGCGGCGGACUCGCGGCGGCCCCUAGCGCAGUAGAACAACCCUUCUCGCUUAGGAGAGCUGUAGCGGUGGACCACAGCCCUUACAUGCUUUUUUUUUUUUUAAAAAAAAAGCUACAUCUAAAAACUUGACCUCGGAUCGGGUAGGACUACCCGCUGAACUUAAGCAUAUCAAUAAGCGGAGGAAAAGAAACCAACAGGGAUUGCCUUAGUAACGGCGAGUGAAGCGGCAACAGCUCAGAUUUGAAAUCUGGCCUUCGGGUCCGAGUUGUAAUCUGUAGAGGAUGCUUCGGGUGAGGUGCCUUCCGAGUGCCCUGGAACGGGACGCCAGAGAGGGUGAGAGCCCCGUACGGUUGGAUACCAAGCCUAUGUGAAGCUCCUUCGACGAGUCGAGUUGUUUGGGAAU
Molecule: unclassified non-coding RNA, 932 nt
Filed under: uncultured fungus
Lineage: Eukaryota; Fungi
Description: sequence contains 18S rRNA gene, ITS1, 5.8S rRNA gene, ITS2 and 28S rRNA gene
Rfam family: Eukaryotic large subunit ribosomal RNA (bases 656-932)
Source: RNAcentral